Molecule: microRNA, 22 nt
Filed under: Plutella xylostella (diamondback moth)
Lineage: Eukaryota; Metazoa; Arthropoda; Insecta; Lepidoptera; Plutellidae
Description: pxy-miR-750
Gene: pxy-miR-750
Source: miRBase by way of RNAcentral
AGUUGGACAGGGGAUCUAGACA